Molecule: transfer RNA, 74 nt
Filed under: Planctomycetota bacterium
Lineage: Bacteria; Pseudomonadati; Planctomycetota
Description: Planctomycetes bacterium (bioreactor metagenome) tRNA-His
Rfam family: tRNA
About the family: Transfer RNA (tRNA) molecules are approximately 80 nucleotides in length. Their secondary structure includes four short double-helical elements and three loops (D, anti-codon, and T loops).
Source: RNAcentral
GCAGGGAUAGCUCAGUUGGUUAGAGCACCAGAUUGUGGAUCUGGGGGUCCCGGGUUCAAGUCCCGGUCCCUGUA